GCCUACGGGAGGCAGCAGUGAGGAAUAUUGGUCAAUGGGCUUACGCCUGAACCAGCCAAGUCGCGUGAGGGAAGACUGCCCUAUGGGUUGUAAACCUCUUUUGUCAGGGAGCAACGCCGGCUACGUGUAGCCGGACUGAGAGUACCUGAAGAAAAAGCAUCGGCUAACUCCGUGCCAGCAGCCGCGGUAAUACGGAGGAUCCAAGCGUUAUCCGGAUUUACUGGGUGUAAAGGGAGCGUAGACGGCAGUGCAAGUCCGGAGUGAAAGCCCGGGGCUCAACCCUGGGACUGCUCUGGAAACUGUAA
RNAcentral lists this ribosomal RNA (305 nucleotides) under uncultured bacterium. RNAcentral's name for it is "bacterial SSU rRNA". It matches the Rfam family "Bacterial small subunit ribosomal RNA", at positions 337 to 638 of the family's 1533-position model. The record is from RNAcentral.